GUUCACGUUAAAGAUUUUGUUGUUUUGAUGGGUUUAACAUCCUCAACAGCUGAUGAAAAAGCUAUAAACAAUUAAAAGCUGAUUCCAUUAAAACCUCUUGUAUGCCUGUUAAUGUUAAGUUCCUAUUUCAAACUGAGGUGAAAAGAGCCUUUGUAAUGAAGUUCAGAUUUUAUGCUGCUUGCUGUAAAGGGGGCUGUGCUAGCAGUGAUACUUUUUACUAAUGUCACUGCCAGUUGCUCCUUAUGGUGAUUUGCUUGUUCUAGGAUGAACUAGAGUUUACUCAUUUAUUUCUCAUGGUUACCCUAAGAAUUUUGAUCUGAAAAAAAUCCAUUUACAACUAAGAGUUAAACUACGUUUAUCCAUUGCAUCACAAGAAUGCCUUUCUUCAGGGCAGCCCUCAUGAAACUACUUAAAGUGAUUCUGUGCACUUCAGAAAUUAUGUCAGCAUGCUGGGAAUGGAGGGGAGGUAUUUGGGAUGCCCAGUAACAUCUAUUUCUGGUUGAAGAUGGACACCCAGGAGAGAAUGGAACUGUUCUGCAAGAGGAGAGGCCUUGAUUCUUUGUCCCACUACCUCCCUGUGAAAUCAGCCCAGAUAGCUGCAUUUUUAGAGUGGAUGCUGUGUACUUGUUCUUCCUGACCCUAAGGGUUUUGGUGCUCUGACCACACAGCCAUCAUACAGGUGUUGGACACCACUUCUUUUCAGCCUGGUUCUGUCACUGCAUGGUAGGCAACAGUUUGUGCUGUGUGAACCAGAGCAUCACAGCACCAUCAUUCCUACAGCUCUGACUCAGGUGGGUAGAGAUGGGUGCUUGGGACCCUCCUGUGUGGAGCAAUAGUGGUCAGGAUGUGCAGAGCAACUGUGACAUUCAGCAAGAUUUUUGGUUGGGCCAGGAGCCCCCAGAUUGGCUAGGUACUCUCAGUAUCAUCUGCUGAGCAGGGAUUGUUUUUAUCUGUGAUUUUGGAGGCUGGCACAACAUUUUAGAGCCUGGUUGCCUGAGUUUUGCAUCAGGGUCUGACUUCUGCUACAAACCUGGCUGUAAAUGUUGGGCAACAAUAGUUUUAACAUAAUCACAGGUGGUGCUUUUGGGGACAUCCAUGUGACAAGAUUAUAAGCAUUUAUCCCAAGAGUAAGAUUUCAUGUACCUUUUAAUUUUGUUUGAGGAUCAAUCAUGUUUAAUAUUUCCCACAGAAAUAUUCCAUGUUGUAAUUACUUGCAUAUGCCCUCUUAAUUAAAACGUAAAGAAAAUAAAAAUGUUUUCUCCAUGAAAUUAAUAAAAGAA
This 1280-nucleotide long non-coding RNA is filed under the name Anas platyrhynchos platyrhynchos (common mallard). RNAcentral's name for it is "lncRNA (ENSAPLG00000025010.1)". Lineage: Eukaryota; Metazoa; Chordata; Aves; Anseriformes; Anatidae. The record is from RNAcentral.